Molecule: ribosomal RNA, 494 nt
Filed under: uncultured bacterium
Lineage: Bacteria
Description: partial 16S ribosomal RNA
Rfam family: Bacterial small subunit ribosomal RNA
Source: RNAcentral
GACGAACGCUGGCGGCGUGCUUAACACAUGCAAGUCGAACGGAAAGGCCUGCUUUCCCUUGUGGAUUGCGGGUACUCGCGUGGCGAACGGGUGAGUAACACGUGAGUGAUCUGCCCCCAACUUGGGUAUAAGCCUGGGAAACUGGGUCUAAUUCCCGAUAGGACUGCAGUGUGGUGCCUGUGGUGGAAAACGAUUUUCUAGUGGUUGGGGAUGAGCUCGCGGCCUAUCAGCUUGUUGGUGGGGUAAUGGCCUACCAAGGCGGCGACGGGUAGCCGGCCUGAGAGGGUGGACGGCAACAUUGGGACUGAGAUACGGGCCAGACUCCUACGGGAGGCAGCAGUGGGGAAUAUUGCACGAUGGGCGGAAGCCUGAUGCAGCGACGCCGCGUGGGGGAUGACGGCCUUCGGGUUGUAAACUCCUUUCGACCGCGAGGAAGCCACCUGGUUGGAAGGGUGGUGACGGUAGUGGUAGAAGAAGCACCGGCUAACUACGUG